This 274-nucleotide ribosomal RNA is filed under the name uncultured bacterium. RNAcentral describes it as "partial 16S ribosomal RNA". It matches the Rfam family "Bacterial small subunit ribosomal RNA", at positions 523 to 796 of the family's 1533-position model. The record is from RNAcentral.
AUACGGAGGGUGCAAGCGUUACUCGGAAUCACUGGGCGUCAAGCGCGCGCAGGCGGCUAUUUAAGUUGGAUGUGAAAGCCUAUGGCUCAACCAUAGAACUGCAUCCAAAACUAUUUAGCUAGAGUGUGGGAGAGGAAGAUGGAAUUAGUUGUGUAGGGGUAAAAUCCGUAGAGAUAACUAGGAAUACCAAAAGCGAAGGCAAUCUUCUGGAACACUACUGACGCUGAGGCGCGAAAGCGUGGGGAGCAAACAGGAGUAGAUACCCUAGUAGUCC